GCGGAAGGUACAUUGCACACACA
RNAcentral lists this ribosomal RNA (23 nucleotides) under Adelothecium bogotense. RNAcentral describes it as "partial 18S ribosomal RNA". Lineage: Eukaryota; Viridiplantae; Streptophyta; Bryopsida; Hookeriales; Daltoniaceae. The record is from RNAcentral.